Long non-coding RNA from Stegastes partitus (bicolor damselfish), 997 nucleotides. RefSeq lists it as uncharacterized. The record is from RefSeq and is a predicted model, not a curated record. NCBI's taxonomy places the organism in Eukaryota, Metazoa, Chordata, Actinopteri, Pomacentridae. The transcript is spliced from 3 exons.
UUAUCUUAUCUUAUCUUAUCUUAUCUUAGACUGUAUUUGUUGUCUUUCAGUUCCUGCUCUGGAGAUGGACUACGUCAACGUCACAGAGUCCAACCGAGUCAUUGAGAUCAGAGAUGACGGACAGAACAGUUCUGCUCCUGUGGAAGUAUCUUCAAUUUACUGCAACGCCAAGAACAGCAAACCAAUCAGAGCUGAAGACAGCUCAGCUUAACCAGCUGUCAUCUGAACAAAACUGAAGACGACUCCAGUAAACUCGAUUACUCUGAGGUGGAUUUUUCCAACGUUGCUGCCUCCUCUCUGAACAGCGCCCCCUGUGGUGACGUAGAUAACGUCCUCUACUCCUCACUUCAGAUGGAUGUGACGUCCACCAACAGCAUCGGAGGAGCUUCACCUCCUUCUCUGCUCUUGCUUUACAUGUCUUGAGAUUUUAUGACUUCUUUAUUUCAUAACUGUGCAGUGGGUCAAAACAGUUGCUAAUUCACUUUAACGUCUAUGAAAAAAAAACCCGCCGUAUUUCAAUUUGGUUGUACUCUUUGGCUGUACUCCCAAUAAUGUGGCUCUGUGGAUUAUAAUAACGUUCAAGGUUCACAGAAAUAAGAAGUCACGUAAAACCCCUUAUGGCCCCAAUACUCUGGAUUUUGUUACCCCUCUACAGCAAAGAAUGCAAAGUUAGCGUGACCCACAGAACCACAACAACCACAUUCAUGGGAAUUACCCCAAGUUGGAAUAAAUCUGAGUCAUCAUUUAAAUAUUUUAUUGAUACACUGUUAUUGUAAUUCUGGUAAAGUGUAUUGUUUUACUUGUUUAGAAAGGUAAAGGUGUAAAGUUCACACUGCAAAGUCUCUCAGGAUAAUUCAAACUGGUUUUAUGUACUCAGAUUUUCUAACAACUGCGACUGAAGAUGUUGUGACAUGAUGCAAACGUCACUUUUUCUUUAUGUCGUCUAUGAUACAACCGAGGAAUCUCACAAAUCCGUGUAGAGGAGUAAAUUUAACUU